GGGGGUGAAAAGGUUUCGACGGGGAUAAUGGGGAUUGUCGAGGCAUGCCGUGGAGACUACCUGCACGUUAAACUGGUGGUAAACAAGUAACUGCAAACGAUAACUUUGCACUCGCCGCUUAAUUGACGGCGACGUCCACUUCAGAGGAUGUUGUCUUCGCUGAAUGCUGGAUGUCAUAAAAUGGCAACUGGGUCUGCUGACGCUGAUAUAGCAGACUGAGAAAACAUUAGCUGGCUCAUUGACAGGUUUGACGGUUAAUCCCGCAAAUGAGUGAGAUAUAGAAAAUCGCUAAGCAUGUAGAAUCGGCUUUUGACAUAUUUUCGGACGCGGGUUCGACUCCCGCCACCUCCACCA
RNAcentral lists this transfer-messenger RNA (354 nucleotides) under Candidatus Cloacimonadota bacterium. It matches the Rfam family "transfer-messenger RNA". Rfam says of the family: Bacterial tmRNA, also known as 10Sa RNA or SsrA, is named for its dual tRNA and mRNA-like properties. The record is from RNAcentral. RNAcentral also lists the same sequence under 1 other name. Lineage: Bacteria; Pseudomonadati; Candidatus Cloacimonadota.